AAUCUAAAACCCUUAUCGAGGAUCCAUUGGAGGGCAAGUCUGGUGCCAGCAGCCUCAGUAAUUCCAGCUCCAAUAGCGUAUAUUAAAGUUGUUGCAGUUAAAAAGCUCGUAGUUGAAUUUCUGGAUCUGCCGAGUGUGCGCCUCUGGCUGUAUGCUCCGCAGGUUCAUCUUCACCUCUCGGGGUGUCGUUUACUGUGAAGAAAUCAGAGUGUUUAAAGCAGGCAAUAGGCUUGAAUACAUUAGCAUGGAAUAAUGAGAUAGGACCUGGUCGCUAUUUUGUUGGUUGCGCGAUCGAGUAAUGAUUAAUAGGGUCAGUUGGGGGUAUUCAUAUUUAAUUGUCAGAGGUGAAAUUCUUGGAUUCAUUAAAGAUGAACUACUGCGAAAGCAUCUACCAAGGAUGUUUACAUUAAUCAAGAACGAAAGUCAGGGGAUCGAAGAGGAUUAGAUACCCUCGUAGUCUUGACCAUAAACUAUGCCGACUCGGGAUUGGUACCUCUCUUUGACAAGGUAACAGCACCGUAUGAUAAAUCAAAGUCUUUGGGUUCCGGGGGGAGUAUGGUCGCAAGGCUGAAACUUAAAGGAAUUGACGGAAGGGCACCACCAGGAGUGGAGCCUGCGGCUUAAUUUGACAACACGGGGAAACUCACCAGGUCCAGACAUAGUGAGGAUUGACAGAUUGAAAGGUCUUUCUUGAUUCUAUGGGUGGUGGUGCAUGGCCGUUCUUAGUUGGUGGAGUGAUUUGUCUGGUUAAUUCCGAUAACGAACGAGACCUCCGCCUGCUAGUCUAGAUUCCUCAUCUGCGGAUGGUGGGAUCUUCCUAGAGGGACUAUGGUCGUUUAGGCCAUGGAAGUUGGAGGCAAUAACAGUUCUGUGAUGCCCUUAGAUGUCCUGGGCCGCACGCGCGCUACACUGGCUGGUGCAACAAGUGUCUCCACGUUGGCCUCGAGAGGCCUGCGCAAUCUUGGAACGCCAGCCGUGAUGGGGAUAGGUUCUUGUAAUUUUUAAUCUUCAACGAGGAAUUCCUAGUAAACGCAAGUCAUCAGCUUGCAUUGAUUACGUCCCUGCCCUUUGUACACACCGCCCGUCGCACCUACCGAUUGGAUGGUCCGGUGAAGCCCUCGGAUUGGCCAGGAUCUUCGGUGACUGGCUCGAGAAGUAGGCUAAACCUUAUCAUCUAGAGGAAGGUGAAGUCGUAACAAGGU
RNAcentral lists this ribosomal RNA (1202 nucleotides) under metagenome. RNAcentral's name for it is "SSU rRNA". It matches the Rfam family "Eukaryotic small subunit ribosomal RNA", at positions 522 to 1800 of the family's 1831-position model. The record is from RNAcentral.